ACGGAGGGUGCGAGCGUUGUCCGGAAUCACUGGGCGUAAAGGGCGCGUAGGCGGCCCGCGAAGCGUGUGGUGAAAGCCCGGGGCUCAACCUCGGGUCGGCCAUGCGAACUGGCGGGCUGGAGCACUGUAGAGGCAGGUAGAAUUCCGGGUGUAGCGGUGGAAUGCGUAGAGAUCCGGAAGAAUACCGGUGGCGAAGGCGGCCUGCUGGGCAGUGGCUGACGCUGAGGCGCGACAGCGUGGGGAGCAAACAGGAUUAGAUACCCUGGUAGUCCACGCCGUAAACGAUGGGCACUAGGUGCUUCGGGGAGCGACCCCGGGAGUGCCGGCGCUAACGCAUUAAGUGCCCCGCCUGGGGAGUACGGCCGCAAGGCUG
This 373-nucleotide ribosomal RNA is filed under the name uncultured bacterium. RNAcentral's name for it is "bacterial SSU rRNA". It matches the Rfam family "Bacterial small subunit ribosomal RNA", at positions 525 to 896 of the family's 1533-position model. The record is from RNAcentral.